CUUGUACCUGCGGGCACAGGGGCGUCAGGGGGGUCCCGGCGCCCGUCCCCGCCGGCAGCGCCCCGCACUCACGUGGACUCCACCAGGCUGAAGCACUUGCCGGAGAGCCUGAAGAGGUGCGCGGGCCCUGGAAGAGAGCGCGACAGCCGAGUCCGGCGGGGGCGCCCGCGGCUGGGACUCGGGACAGGAGCACCGGGGCCCACUGAAGCGACCUCCGAGGGCGACAGCGGGCACCCUGCAGCUGGCGGGCUGGCCUCCGUCAGGCCUCCGCGCUCGGGCGGAAAGGUGGGCACUGAGACUUCCUGGAGCCGGGGACGGGAGGCGGCCGGGGGACAACGGGGCCCCAAGAAGCGUGGGGACACGGGGAAAGGAAGACGGGCGAAAGCAACCGCGCGCUCACGGGUCAUCGACGAGGAGCCUCGGCACGGAGCCGGGGUCGCAACAAAUCCCUACCCGGGGACACAGGGCCUCAUCGAGGGGAACGGUGCCAGAGCGGUCCCAGCAGAAGCCCAUACGGCUCUCUGGGAGUAAAGGCUUCUAAAUGUACUAGAAGAACUGGGACCUAGGCAGACACAAGAACAGGGGACAGCGGGAAGGAACGCUGGGGCAGACGGCAGAGACGAGGGCUCGAUGCCACUCCGGCAGACGGAAGAGCCGGGCCGUGGGGCGAGGUCGCAGCAUGGGGGCCCCCACGGGAGGGCUCGGAUGGGCCGAGCGUCUGGGAGGACCAGAAGAAAGUCCCCAGUGUGACAGAAGAGGGGAACUCCAAGGAGGACAGGCGCAGACCCUCGGCAGACACCCAAGGGCGACGAGAACUGAGGCCCGUCGGGGGACCCAGCCUGCAGCCUGGAAGGCGGCGCAGUGAAGGACGCGGCCGUCAACCCACCGGCCAGGCGGACGGGGGACGGCAGAGGGGACCUGGUCCCCACAGGGUGCCCUCCCCUUGGAACGGUGAAGGCGAAGUCACGGCUGCGGCACAGAGCCGGGAUGCUUGCCGUCCCGACCUUGUCAGUCUAUCGAAUGUGGAAGGUGCAUCACAAAACCAUCACACGUCUUUGCUGGUGGGUCCCCGGCGUCUUGAGGAGGUGAGCGUGGGACGGACGGCAGAGCUGGGGGGGGGGGGGGGACACUGAUUUUGUUCGUGACUCAAACUGACGAGAAACUGCAAUCAGAUCUGAAUAACCUGCGUCACAAGGGAGGAAACGAGGGACGAAAUACACACUCUGUUUCCUGGGAGUCCUUCUUAUCAACACGUCCAAGUGAAGGAAUUAACUAUCCAUCUGGUCAAAAGGCACAGGCCGGCCAAGGGGAGGAGACCCCUCAGAGAGGCUCCUGUUAGCUGUAAAAGUCCGGAGAAAGAGGGCCGGGGCGGUCACACUGCCACCAGAGCGACCGUAUGCCACAAACGGUCAGGAGAGACAACGGGUGUUCUGUUCUGAAUAAACCUAAAAGGACUAAAACGCCACUUUCUGAUCACAACGGAAACCAGAAAUCAACAGCAGAAGCAGGAAAUGCACAGAUCCAGAGUAAUUACACUCAGGGAAAUCAGGAAAUACUCGAGACAAGGAGAGCAGGAGGCUCAGAGCCCAGGUGCGGAGAGGGGGCCGGGCGUCUCCAGCACGUUCAAGUACGCGCUCACGCCGGUGACCUAGCUCUCACACUCUCAGCACUAAAACGAGCACACGAGACACAAAGCUGGCAGAAGAAAGAAAAUGAAAAGCAGUAAAAGCCAACACUGCUUCUUUAAAAAGCUCCCCAAGAUCCCAAGUGUUUCGCUAGACUGACUAGAACACACACACGAGCGCUGAAACCCCUAAAACCAGGCAGGAACGUGGGGAAGCUGCCAGUUUGGCUGAAAGACGGCUACCGGAAUACUGAACGAGCCGGCCGCCAACCGAUCGGUCAGCUAUGCGAAACAGGCAGUUCCUAGGAACGCACCAUUUAUCAGUCCUUCUCAAGGGUCCCCAAGCCACGGAAGAGCGGACCACACGCUGCUUCACGGUGUGGGGCCAGCGUCACCCCGAACCCAAAGUCAACAAGUCACAAGGAAACCACGGUCCAAUAUCCACUCCGAACAGGAGUG
Molecule: long non-coding RNA, 2083 nt
Organism: Leopardus geoffroyi (Geoffroy's cat)
Lineage: Eukaryota; Metazoa; Chordata; Mammalia; Carnivora; Felidae
Exons: 2
Source: RefSeq, a predicted model, not a curated record